Molecule: ribosomal RNA, 478 nt
Filed under: uncultured bacterium
Lineage: Bacteria
Description: partial 16S ribosomal RNA
Rfam family: Bacterial small subunit ribosomal RNA
Source: RNAcentral
GAUGAACGCUGGCGGCGUGCUUAACACAUGCAAGUCGAACGGGAAACCUUUUAUUGAAGCUUCGGCAGAUUUAGCUGGUUUCUAGUGGCGGACGGGUGAGUAACGCGUGGGUAACCUGCCUUAUACAGGGGGAUAACAGUCAGAAAUGGCUGCUAAUACCGCAUAAGCGCACAGAGCUGCAUGGCUCAGUGUGAAAAACUCCGGUGGUAUAAGAUGGACCCGCGUUGGAUUAGCUGGUUGGUGGGGUAACGGCCCACCAAGGCGACGAUCCAUAGCCGGCCCGAGAGGGUGAACGGCCACAUUGGGACUGAGACACGGCCCAGACUCCUACGGGAGGCAGCAGUGGGGAAUAUUGCACAAUGGGGGAAACCCUGAUGCAGUGACGCCGCGUGAAGGAAGAAGUAUCUCGGUAUGUAAACUUCUAUCAGCAGGGAAGAUAAUGACGGUACCUGACGAAGAAGCCCCGGCUAACUACGUG